Molecule: ribosomal RNA, 194 nt
Filed under: uncultured Nitrosomonas sp.
Lineage: Bacteria; Pseudomonadati; Pseudomonadota; Betaproteobacteria; Nitrosomonadales; Nitrosomonadaceae
Description: partial 16S ribosomal RNA
Rfam family: Bacterial small subunit ribosomal RNA
Source: RNAcentral
CCUACGGGAGGCAGCAGUGGGGAAUUUUGGACAAUGGGCGAAAGCCUGAUCCAGCCAUGCCGCGUGAGUGAAGAAGGCCUUCGGGUUGUAAAGCUCUUUCAGUCGAGAAGAAAAGGUUGUGACUAAUAAUCGUAACUUAUGACGGUAUCGACAGAAGAAGCACCGGCUAACUACGUGCCAGCAGCCGCGGUAAU